This 433-nucleotide ribosomal RNA is filed under the name uncultured bacterium. RNAcentral's name for it is "partial 16S ribosomal RNA". It matches the Rfam family "Bacterial small subunit ribosomal RNA", at positions 29 to 507 of the family's 1533-position model. The record is from RNAcentral.
AACGAACGCUGGCGGCAUGCCUAACACAUGCAAGUCGAACGAGACCUUCGGGUCUAGUGGCGCACGGGUGCGUAACGCGUGGGAACCUGCCCUUAGGUUCGGAAUAACUCCCCGAAAGGGGUGCUAAUACCGGAUAAUGUCUUCGGACCAAAGAUUUAUCGCCUUUGGAUGGGCCCGCGUUGGAUUAGCUAGUUGGUAGGGUAAAAGCCUACCAAGGCGACGAUCCAUAGCUGGUCUGAGAGGAUGAUCAGCCACACUGGGACUGAGACACGGCCCAGACUGCUACGGGAGGGAGCGGUGGAGAAUAUUGGACGAGGGGCGAAAGCCUGAUCCAGCAAUGCCGCGUAAGUGAUGAAGGCCUUAGGGUUGUAAAGCUCUUUUACCCGGGAUGAUAAUGACGGUACCGGGAGAAUAAGCACCGGCUAACUCCGUG